CGCCUGCCGUCAUACCCAGCGUCGCAAUCUUGUCCGGAUCGAGCCACAAGCGCAUCGAAUAAUCGCGCGCUCCGAAAAUCUGGAUGUCGCCGAUGCCGUCGAGCCGCAGCAACUGGUCGCGCACCUGCCGCAAAGCAUAGUUGGAAAUAUAGAGCUGGUCGUAAGUGUCAUCGGGCGACAGCAUGAACACGACCAUCAUGAGGUCGGGGCUAUUCUUGCGAGUGACGACACCGUUGCGCUGAACUUCCU
RNAcentral lists this unclassified non-coding RNA (249 nucleotides) under Hevea brasiliensis (rubber tree). The record is from RNAcentral. Lineage: Eukaryota; Viridiplantae; Streptophyta; Magnoliopsida; Malpighiales; Euphorbiaceae.